UGGGGAAUAUUGCACAAUGGGCGCAAGCCUGAUGCAGCCAUGCCGCGUGUAUGAAGAAGGCCUUCGGGUUGUAAAGUACUUUCAGUCGGGAGGAAGGUGGUAAGGUUAAUAACCUUAUCAAUUGACGUUACCGACAGAAGAAGCACCGGCUAACUCCGUGCCAGCAGCCGCGGUAAUACGUAGGUGGCAAGCGUUGUCCGGAUUUAUUGGGCGUAAAGCGAGCGCAGGCGGUUUCUUAAGUCUGAUGUGAAAGCCCCCGGCUCAACCGGGGAGGGUCAUUGGAAACUGGGAGACUUGAGUGCAGAAGAGGAGAGUGGAAUUCCAUGUGUAGCGGUGAAAUGCGUAGAUAUAUGGAGGAACACCAGUGGCGAAGGCGGCUCUCUGGUCUGUAACUGACGCUGAGGCUCGAAAGCGUGGGGAGCAAACAGG
This 429-nucleotide ribosomal RNA is filed under the name Chloroflexota bacterium. RNAcentral describes it as "Chloroflexi bacterium partial 16S ribosomal RNA". It matches the Rfam family "Bacterial small subunit ribosomal RNA", at positions 355 to 776 of the family's 1533-position model. Lineage: Bacteria; Bacillati; Chloroflexota. The record is from RNAcentral.